RNAcentral lists this ribosomal RNA (301 nucleotides) under uncultured bacterium. RNAcentral's name for it is "partial 16S ribosomal RNA". It matches the Rfam family "Bacterial small subunit ribosomal RNA", at positions 509 to 807 of the family's 1533-position model. The record is from RNAcentral.
CAGUAGCCGCGGUAAAACGUAGGGUGCAAGCGUUAAUCGGAAUUACUGGGCGUAAAGCGCGCGUAGGUGGUUUGUUAAGUUGGAUGUGAAAUCCCCGGGCUCAACCUGGGAACUGCAUCCAAAACUGGCAAGCUAGAGUAUGGUAGAGGGUGGUGGAAUUUCCUGUGUAGCGGUGAAAUGCGUAGAUAUAGGAAGGAACACCAGUGGCGAAGGCGACCACCUGGACUGAUACUGACACUGAGGUGCGAAAGCGUGGGGAGCAAACAGGAUUAGAUACCCCCGUAGUCCCUGUCUCUUAUAC